UACGUAAGUUGCGAGCGUUGUCCGGAAUUACUGGGCGUAAAGGACGUGCAGGCGGUCUGCUGAGUCGGGUGUGAAAGACCGGGGCUUAACCCCGGGGCUGCAUCCGAUACUGGCAGACUUGAGUCUUGGAGGGGAGAGCAGAAUUCCAGGUGUAGCGGUGAAAUGCGUAGAUAUCUGGGAGAAUACCGGUGGCGAAGGCGGCUCUCUGGCCAAGUACUGACGCUGAGGCGUGAAAGCGUGGGUAGCAAACAGG
Molecule: unclassified non-coding RNA, 253 nt
Filed under: uncultured bacterium
Lineage: Bacteria
Description: contains 16S-23S intergenic spacer region
Rfam family: Bacterial small subunit ribosomal RNA
Source: RNAcentral